AGUAGUUGAUCAGUGGCUCGAGGACGAACGCUGGCGGCGUGCUUAACACAUGCAAGUCGAACGGUAAGGCCCUUCGGGGGUAACACGAGUGGCGAACGGGUGAGUAACACGUGGGUGAUCUGCCCUGCACUUCGGGAUAAGCCUGGGAAACUGGGUCUAAUACCGGGAUAGGACUCCUGGCUUCAGUGGUUGGGGGUGUAAAGCUUUUGCGGUGUGGGAUGGGCCCGCGGCCUAUCAGCUUGUUGGUAGGGUAAUGGCCUACCAAGGCGACGACGGGUAGCCGGCCUGAGAGGGUGACCGGCCACACUGGGACUGAGAUACGGCCCAGACUCCUACGGGAGGCAGCAGUGGGGAAUAUUGCACAAUGGGCGCAAGCCUGAUGCAGCGACGCCGCGUGAGGGAUGACGGCCUUCGGGUUGUAAACCUCUUUCAAUAGGGACGAAGCGCAAGUGACGGUACCUAUAGAAGAAGGACCGGCCAACUACGUG
RNAcentral lists this ribosomal RNA (488 nucleotides) under uncultured bacterium. Its description in RNAcentral is "bacterial SSU rRNA". It matches the Rfam family "Bacterial small subunit ribosomal RNA", at positions 1 to 507 of the family's 1533-position model. The record is from RNAcentral.